Molecule: ribosomal RNA, 250 nt
Filed under: uncultured bacterium
Lineage: Bacteria
Description: partial 16S ribosomal RNA
Rfam family: Bacterial small subunit ribosomal RNA
Source: RNAcentral
UACGUAGGUGGCAAGCGUUGUCCGGAUUUAUUGGGCGUAAAGGGAACGCAGGCGGUCUUUUAAGUCUGAUGUGAAAGCCUUCGGCUUAACCGAAGUCGUGCAUUGGAAACUGGAGGACCUGAGUGCAGAAGAGGAGAGUGGAACUCCAUGUGUAGCGGCGGAAUGCGUAGAUAUAUGGAAGAACACCAGUGGCGAAAGCGGCUCUCUGGUCUGUAACUGACGCUGAGGUUCGAAAGCGUGGGUAGCAAAC